GUUCUCCCACUAUUUUAUACGAAUUGGUAGUCUCUACCUCCAAUCUGAGAAAUUACCUUAAUUUUUUAGUGGGUACUAGAAUUCACACAGACUGUAUAUAAGUCUGAAGAUGGCUCGAUCAACCCAUAUGCAUCCAUGGAUAGAUUUUCAACCAAUUAUUUUUUCAAACAACUUCUAGUAUUUAAUUUCACUCCAGAUUUCAUUUCAGUAGGCGAUAGACCUCCACUAAAAGUUUUAGUUAGGUCCAACCAUUAACAUGAACCUACUCAGUGAUUCUAGCUAAAGAAUGAUCGGGCUCCA
RNAcentral lists this long non-coding RNA (300 nucleotides) under Elaeis guineensis (African oil palm). RNAcentral's name for it is "long non-coding RNA (EGUI_LNC052919)". The record is from RNAcentral. Lineage: Eukaryota; Viridiplantae; Streptophyta; Magnoliopsida; Arecales; Arecaceae.